AAGAAGGGUUUCGGCUGGUAAAACUCUGUGUUAAAGAAGAACACCUUUGAGAGUAACUGUUCAAGGGUUGACGGUAUUUAACCAGAAAGCCACGGCUAAUUACGUGCCAGCAGCCGCGGUAAUACGUAGGUGGCAAGCGUUGUCCGGAUUUAUUGGGCGUAAAGCGAGCGCAGGCGGUUUUUUAAGUCUGAUGUGAAAGCCUUCGGCUUAACCGGAGAAGUGCAUCGGAAACUGGGAGACUUGAGUGCAGAAGAGGACAGUGGAACUCCAUGUGUAGCGGUGGAAUGCGUAGAUAUAUGGAAGAACACCAGUGGCGAAGGCGGCUGUCUAGUCUGUAACUGACGCUGAGGCUCGAAAGCAUGGGUAGCGAACAGGAUUAGAUACCCUGGUAGUCCAUGCCGUAAACGAUGAGUGCUAAGUGUUGGAGGGUUUCCGCCCUUCAGUGCUGCAGCUAACGCAUUAAGCACUCCGCCUGGGGAGUACGACCGCAAGGUUGAAACUCAAAGGAAUUGACGGGGGCCCGCACAAGCGGUGGAGCAUGUGGUUUAAUUCGAAGCUACGCGAAGAACCUUACCAGGUCUUGACAUCUUCUGCCAAUCUUAGAGAUAAGACGUUCCCUUCGGGGACAGAAUGACAGGUGGUGCAUGGUUGUCGUCAGCUCGUGUCGUGAGAUGUUGGGUUAAGUCCCGCAACGAGCGCAACCCUUAUUAUCAGUUGCCAGCAUUCAGUUGGGCACUCUGGUGAGACUGCCGGUGACAAACCGGAGGAAGGUGGGGAUGACGUCAAAUCAUCAUGCCCCUUAUGACCUGGGCUACACACGUGCUACAAUGGACGGUACAACGAGUCGCGAAGUCGUGAGGCUAAGCUAAUCUCUUAAAGCCGUUCUCAGUUCGGAUUGUAGGCUGCAACUCGCCUACAUGAAGUUGGAAUCGCUAGUAAUCGCGGAUCAGCAUGCCGCGGUGAAUACGUU
This 970-nucleotide ribosomal RNA is filed under the name Levilactobacillus brevis. RNAcentral describes it as "bacterial SSU rRNA". It matches the Rfam family "Bacterial small subunit ribosomal RNA", at positions 408 to 1372 of the family's 1533-position model. The record is from RNAcentral. Lineage: Bacteria; Bacillati; Bacillota; Bacilli; Lactobacillales; Lactobacillaceae.